Long non-coding RNA from Onychostoma macrolepis, 1845 nucleotides. RefSeq lists it as uncharacterized. Lineage: Eukaryota; Metazoa; Chordata; Actinopteri; Cypriniformes; Cyprinidae. The transcript has 9 exons. The record is from RefSeq and is a predicted model, not a curated record.
UACGUGGUGUGCGUGCCUUUAAUUUUUGAAGCCCUUUAAACCAUAUUCUUUUUUUUUUAAACAAAUUAAUCACUGUAGUAACAGCUAGUGCCAAAAUACCUUGUUUUAGUACUGUAAAACUUCAAUGAAUAAAUAUCGAAAUUAUAUCCAAACGGCAGGAAAAACCUUUGGCUUUGGGGUUGUUCUAAACUUUUGAGUGAUGAUUUCUGCUGACAUAACGAUAUGGUCCAGGUCCGUUAAAUUUUUUUUUGAGUGAAGUCAAACAUUUCCAGCCUAUAAAGACUCGUCUUGCUGCUGGAGAGAAGCCAGGGCAUGUGUCCGUGUUUACCUCACAGGCACCGGGUGGCACGCUCCUUUCACGCUGAUGUCAGAUUGGCACGACACAUGGUCCUAGACACCAGGGGGCUUCAUGGGGCCAGGAGACCCCCAGCCCUACUCGCAGUAGCUGAUACAAUCCACCCCUAAGUGUUUCAGUCUCUUUCUCUCUCUUUCUCUCUCUCUCUCUCUCUCUCUCUUUCUGUAGCAGGCCUUUGAAGUGGGGUGAUGAGGGUAAGUUAAUUAUCCCCAUUACACAGGCCUGGCUACAUCCAGCCCUGCCUCAGCCCCAGCCUUCCUCUGCCUAUAAUUACACUGAGAGGGAGGCAGAAGCUGUCAGCAACAUUUAAAACAGACCCUCUGAUAAAAACACUCCAGCAGAGAGAGAGAGAGAGAGAGAAAGAAAGACGCUGGCCCCAGAUGUUGAUGUAGACGUUUUAAGUGAUUGAACAGAGCAGUGAAGAGUGCAAAGCAGGAUCACAACACGGGGCAAAAACCUCCUAAGCGUUCGACCAGCGCAAGCGUGUUAAAGCUUGUAGAGGUGGAGCGGUCCACCUCAUCUGCUCUCUGCCAGAGCCAGUGUGUGUGAUAAAUGAGAGGAGGCCCGGUCUGCUUACUGAUGCACAGGAGAGACCGAACCAGCCCCCCACCCUCCUUACCACCCCUCCAUCCACCUCCUCUUCCUCCAUCUUUCAGCUUCAUCUAUCAAAUGUGAGGACAGAUGAGCAGCAGCGAGAAGCUCUGGGGGGUGACGGUGACUGUGACAUCGGCAGCGUUCAGUGCUUUACAUGUCAGUCAGAUGGCCUGUUCCUGUCUAAGCGGGCGGCCCUUUGACAGAACAAGCAAAGUCGACCAGACGUAAUGCAGAUCAUCGGCGACGGCGCUUCCGCAAUGAGGAGCGAGCAUGUGCGCAUGGUUGCCAGGUUGCUUAAAAUAAGCAAAACACCGGGCAGAAAAUGUAUCCUUAUAACAGCAUAGCUCUGAUUUUGGGAUUUGAACUUUUGAUAUCUGACAACUGCACUCAUGAAAGCUCACGUAGUAGAGGCGUGUAGAGCAGUCUGCAAUAACAUUUUGUCUCCUUUUUUGAUGAAAAUUAAGAGAGGUUUUGGUAAAGUUUUUAUUUUUUUGAAUACAUUUUAGUCUCGUCUUUUUUCGUCAACGAAAUUGCAUGUUGAUGUUGUCAUACUUUUUGUUUAUUGACCUUAUUGUCAUCUCGUCUGCGUUUCGUCUAGUCAUGGGAAAAAAGCUCAUCAACAAACAUUUUUCGUCAAAGUUUUCAUUAAGGAAAUUGACACGUGUCUCCAUUUUACUAAUGUGUAAAAAAAAAAGACCCUCUCCCACCUCACGUCUCUUGUGCGGUAAUAUGUAAGGGGAUGUUGUUUUUGUUGUUAUUUUUAUUGUUACUGUUAUUUUGAGUGAAUAGAAUCAAAUGCAAUGUGUGUACUGUCUCCAAAAAAUACUAAAGUAUACAGAAAGUGGAAUUGGCUGACAAACUAACUUUUUUACAUACAGCCAUUUCGGAUCAUUCCA